GAUCCUGGCUCAGGAUGAACGCUGGCGGCGUGCUUAACACAUGCAAGUUGAGCGAAGCGGUUUCAAUGAAGUUUUCGGAUGGAAUUGAAAUUGACUUAGCGGCGGACGGGUGAGUAACGCGUGGGUAACCUGCCUUACACUGGGGGAUAACAGUUAGAAAUGACUGCUAAUACCGCAUAAGCGCACAGGGCCGCAUGGUCUGGUGUGAAAAACUCCGGCGGUGUAAGAUGGACCCGCGUCUGAUUAGG
This 248-nucleotide ribosomal RNA is filed under the name uncultured bacterium. Its description in RNAcentral is "partial 16S ribosomal RNA". It matches the Rfam family "Bacterial small subunit ribosomal RNA", at positions 15 to 245 of the family's 1533-position model. The record is from RNAcentral.